GUGGGGAAUCUUAGACAAUGGGGGAAACCCUGAUCUAGCCAUGUCGCGUGAGCGAUGAAGGCCUUAGGGUUGUAAAGCUCUUUCAGCUGGGAAGAUAAUGACGGUACCAGCAGAAGAAGCCCCGGCUAACUCCGUGCCAGCAGCCGCGGUAAUACGGAGGGGGCUAGCGUUGUUCGGAAUUACUGGGCGUAAAGCGCACGUAGGCGGAUCAGAAAGUCAGAGGUGAAAUCCCAGGGCUCAACCUUGGAACUGCCUUUGAAACUCCUGGUCUUGAGGUCGAGAGAGGUGAGUGGAAUUCCGAGUGUAGAGGUGAAAGUCGUAGAUAUUCGGAGGAACACCAGUGGCGAAGGCGGCUCACUGGCUCGAUACUGACGCUGAGGUGCGAAAGCGUGGGGAGCAAACAGGAUUAGAUACCCGAGUAGUCC
This 425-nucleotide ribosomal RNA is filed under the name uncultured bacterium. Its description in RNAcentral is "partial 16S ribosomal RNA". It matches the Rfam family "Bacterial small subunit ribosomal RNA", at positions 354 to 796 of the family's 1533-position model. The record is from RNAcentral.